CAGUAGCCGCGGAACACGGAGGGGGCUAGCGUUGUUCGGAAUUACUGGGCGUAAAGCGCACGUAGGCGGCUUGGUAAGUUAGAGGUGAAAGCCUGGAGCUCAACUCCAGAAUUGCCUUUAAGACUGCCGAGCUAGCAGGUGAGAGAGGUAAGUGGAAUUCCGAGUGUAGAGGUGAAAUUCGUAGAUAUUCGGAAGAACACCAGUGGCGAAGGCGGCUUACUGGCUCAUACUGGACGCUGAGGUGCGAAAGCGUGGGGAGCAAACAGGAUUAGAUACCCCUGUAGUCCCUGUCUCUUAUACA
This 301-nucleotide ribosomal RNA is filed under the name uncultured bacterium. RNAcentral's name for it is "partial 16S ribosomal RNA". It matches the Rfam family "Bacterial small subunit ribosomal RNA", at positions 509 to 808 of the family's 1533-position model. The record is from RNAcentral.